RNAcentral lists this long non-coding RNA (1814 nucleotides) under Capsella rubella. RNAcentral's name for it is "long non-coding RNA (CRUB_LNC002494)". Lineage: Eukaryota; Viridiplantae; Streptophyta; Magnoliopsida; Brassicales; Brassicaceae. The record is from RNAcentral.
UAUUUAUUAUUUUUUUUUUUUUUUUUUGCUAAGAAUGUAAAUAUUUCAUUAAUAAUGAAAAUAGUUAGGAAUUACAAUGAAGUAAAACCUAUAGAUUGGUUCCAUGGCAAAAAAAGAAUAAAAAACAUGAAGCAAAAAUACAAUCAGUCCAUCAAUCGACAAAAGCAGUGACGCUUUCGGAAUAGAUGAAGUGAUAAACACAAUCAGUCCAUAGACAUCAACAAAAGCGGUUACACUUUUGGAGUCAUUGAAGUGAUUAACGAUUUUGAAGAUUCACCUAGAUGAGACCUCAAGGAGAAGAAAAACAUGUUGUCAAAGGGCAAUGAUCGCUUUAAAGAAAACCAUAGCGAAUGGAAGCCUUUCACCGGUAGUCCGAGAAUACUGAGCCGUCAACGGCUUAGAACAAAGAGCUCUCAAUCACUGACUCCCUCUUCAUCAAGUGAGAGACGCAUUUUGAACAAUCCAUGAGCUUUCUCAGAGCGGAACCACACGAACCAAAGGAAACGAAAGCGCUAGCUCACUCUACCAAGCUCAUUCCCCGAGGUCGGCUAGCACAGAGCAAAUCUAACAAUACGACCAAACGCUAAACAAUCCUUAGGUUUUACUAGCUCCUCCACCAGCCAAGUUAGCUAAUCCACAAACCAAAGCACAAGCCAACAAAAUUUCUUCUCCACAAAGAGGCAACACACAAAGGGAACAAAGCAAAAUCAAGACUAACCAACACCCAAGAGCUUUGUGCACCAAACGGAGCAGCAAGAUCUUGGAGAGCAAUACCAAAGCAAGAUCGAUGGAGAACGACAAAGGAGAAAACUCUUAAGCAGCUAAAACCAGCUAGCUAAACCGGCGGAUAUGAGAGAAACGACAUCGGCAUCGCUCCAACUCCCUGAAUAGCCGCACAUUUAAAACAAGAAGUUAAAACGCUCGAGCUCCGACCUCACACACCUGUCUUUGACACACCCUAAUGAUGCCUCUACAGGACGGGAGCAGAGAGAACAGAUCGGAAGAACAAGCAGCAAGCACAGAGGGAAGGAGAGGCAAGCUUUCCAAACCCUUGACGGAGUGAGAAACACCACCGUGAAUCUUAUUGAGAAGAUUCGUCAAAUGCCAAAAGGGAAGAGAAAGAGAGGCCAAGACCAUCUUCCACUAACCACUCACCUGAGAAGACCCAAACACCACCUUUGCUAAACCAAAGCCAAGUAGUCACGACACCGAGAAUCGGAGCGAGGGUAAACCGCCGUGAAACACCUCGAGAAAAAAUAACACAACCCUAGCCGCUGUCCUCGAGCAAGGCUGUUGAGAAGGUCGAUCGUCGGAGAGGUGGAACCGCCGUGUUACUCGAGAGGAGUCAAAGAGAGCCGACGCCAAUGGAGCCACUUAAGAGAUUUGCUGUUAACCUAGCCGCCGCGACCAUGUUCUGAAGCUCGUCAAAUCGCCUUAGGAGAGGCACCCAAGUAGCACGAGACACAGGGGGCCCUCUCACAGCCACGGCGAAGAGCGCCGGUGCCGGAGAGGCAAACGACGGCGUAGAUCUAGGUUUUGUUGAAGAAGACGAGUUGGGGAGAAAAUAUUUCGGGCGCGUGUUGGUCACGCGCGUGUUGGUCAGGUGAGUUGUUUUUAUUAUUUAUUUAUUUAUUAUUUUAGUUUCAACUUCCAAGUUGCUUGAAGAAACUUUGAUCUAUAUGUAAUUAUUGCUGUUUUUAAACUUAGCUAUUUUCAUUCUCUUUAAGGGGGUUCCUUUAAAUGCUACUCUGUAAAGUCAACAUGUUUAAAAGUUUAUUUUAGUGGUAAUGUAGUUUCAACUUUCAAGUGGCUUG